GUGCACCAGUCGAGAAAACUUUACAAUGUGCGAAAGCACGAUAAGGGAACUCUGAGUGCCUCCUAAGGAGGCUGUUCAGGUGUCUAAAAAGCACCUGGAGUAAGGGCUGGGUAAGACCGGUGCCAGCCGCCGCGGUAACACCGGCAGCCCAGGUGGUAGCCACUUUUAUUGGGUCUAAAGCGUCCGUAGCCGGUUGAGUAAGUUCCUUGGGAAAUUUGGCUGCUCAACAGUCAAGCUUCCAGGGAAUACUGCUCGACUUGGGACUGGGAGAGGUCAGAGGUACUCCAGGGGUAGGGGUGAAAUCCAUUAAUCCCUGGGGGACCACCGGUAGCGAAGGCGUCUGACCAGACCAGGUCCGACGGUGAGGGACGAAGGCUAGGGUCGCGAACCGGAUUAGAUACCCCUGUAGU
This 410-nucleotide ribosomal RNA is filed under the name uncultured microorganism. Its description in RNAcentral is "bacterial SSU rRNA". It matches the Rfam family "Archaeal small subunit ribosomal RNA", at positions 330 to 745 of the family's 1478-position model. The record is from RNAcentral.